CUGCUUCUGGAAUCAGCUCUAAGGACACCACACCUCCUAAUCCUUCCCAAACAGUCCCACCAACUGGGACCAGAUGUUAAAGAACAGGAGCCUAUGGUCAUUGUCAUUCAGGUAGGUCUUCUGGGAAAGCAGCAAGUGCCUUUAACCAAUACCAUUCUUCAGUCCCCAAAUUCAUUUUCUUUAAAUUUUGCUUUAAGUUCCAAUUACAGUGUUUUGAACGUCAUAGUAUUUAAUCAAAGUCAUCUUAAUACCUCUGCUUUUGGACUGAAAGUUACUGGUAUGAUUAAUUGGCAUCUCGGUUGCUAAGAGAUUAGCUU
This 317-nucleotide long non-coding RNA is filed under the name Rattus norvegicus (Norway rat). RNAcentral's name for it is "long non-coding RNA NONRATT024288". Lineage: Eukaryota; Metazoa; Chordata; Mammalia; Rodentia; Muridae. The record is from RNAcentral.